RNAcentral lists this unclassified non-coding RNA (262 nucleotides) under uncultured fungus. Its description in RNAcentral is "sequence contains ITS1, 5.8S rRNA gene". The stretch from base 214 to 262 matches the Rfam family "5.8S ribosomal RNA", at positions 1 to 49 of the family's 154-position model. The record is from RNAcentral. Lineage: Eukaryota; Fungi.
UUUCCGUAGGUGAACCUGCGGAAGGAUCAUUAUCCAUCUAAAACCAGGUGCGGUCGCGGCCUCCGGGUGAAAGCCUGGGUGGUUUCGCGCUGCAUUCCUGCACCCUUUUUUUACGAGCACCUUUGUUCUCCUUCGGCGGGGCAACCUGCCGUUGGAACCGAAUAAACUCUUUUUGCAUCUAGCAUUACCUGUUCCGAAACAAACAAUCGUUACAACUUUCAACAAUGGAUCUCUUGGCUCUGGCAUCGAUGAAGAACGCAGC